Molecule: ribosomal RNA, 561 nt
Filed under: Tenacibaculum sp.
Lineage: Bacteria; Pseudomonadati; Bacteroidota; Flavobacteriia; Flavobacteriales; Flavobacteriaceae
Description: bacterial SSU rRNA
Rfam family: Bacterial small subunit ribosomal RNA
Source: RNAcentral
UUUGCUGACGACCGGCGAACGGGUGCGUAACGCGUAUAGAAUCUGCCUUGUACAGGAGGAUAGCCUUUAGAAAUGAAGAUUAAUACUCCAUAGUGUAGGGAAGUGGCAUCACUAUCUUACUAAAGAUUUAUUGGUACAAGAUGACUAUGCGUCCUAUUAGCUAGAUGGUAAGGUAACGGCUUACCAUGGCUACGAUAGGUAGGGGGUCUGAGAGGACUAUCCCCCACACUGGUACUGAGACACGGACCAGACUCCUACGGGAGGCAGCAGUGAGGAAUAUUGGUCAAUGGAGGCAACUCUGAACCAGCCAUGCCGCGUGCAGGAAGACUGCCCUAUGGGUUGUAAACUGCUUUUAUACGGGAAGAAACAACUCUACGUGUAGAGUCUUGACGGUACCGUAAGAAUAAGCACCGGCUAACUCCGUGCCAGCAGCCGCGGUAAUACGGAGGGUGCAAGCGUUAUCCGGAAUCAUUGGGUUUAAAGGGUCCGCAGGCGGUCGAUUAAGUCAGAGGUGAAAUCCCAUAGCUUAACUAUGGAACUGCCUUUGAUACUGGUUGACUU